GCGCCUGUAGCUUAGCUGGAUAGAGCAUCGGCUUCCGAUGCCGAAGGUCGCAGGUUCAAAUCCUGCCAGGCGCG
This 74-nucleotide transfer RNA is filed under the name Sulfurihydrogenibium sp. YO3AOP1. RNAcentral's name for it is "tRNA-Arg (CCG) (tRNA-Arg-CCG-1-1)". It matches the Rfam family "tRNA". From Rfam's summary of the family: Transfer RNA (tRNA) molecules are approximately 80 nucleotides in length. Their secondary structure includes four short double-helical elements and three loops (D, anti-codon, and T loops). RNAcentral also lists the same sequence under 1 other name. Lineage: Bacteria; Pseudomonadati; Aquificota; Aquificia; Aquificales; Hydrogenothermaceae. The record is from RNAcentral.